GACGAACGCUGGCGGCGUGCUUAACACAUGCAAGUCGAACGGAAAGGCCCUGCUGUUGUGGGGUGCUCGAGUAGCGAACGGGUGAGUAACACGUGAGUAACCUGCCCUUGACUUUGGGAUAACUUCAGGAAACUGGGGCUAAUACCGGAUAGGAGCUCCUGCUGCAUGGUGGUGGUUGGAAAGUUUCGGCGGUUGGGGAUGGACGCGCGGCUUAUCAGCUUGGUGGUGGGGUAGUUGCUUACCAAGGCAUUGACGGGUAGCCGGCCUGAGAGGGUGACCGGCCACAUGAGGACUGAGGUACGGCCCAGACUCCUACGGGAGGCAACAGUGGGGAAUAUUGCACAAUGGGCGGAAGCCUGAGGCAGCAACGCCGCGUGCGGGAUGACGGCCUUCGGGUUGUAAACCGCUUUCGCCUGUGACGAAGCGGGAGUGACGGUACUGGGUAAAGAAGCACCGGCUAACUACGUG
Molecule: ribosomal RNA, 468 nt
Filed under: uncultured bacterium
Lineage: Bacteria
Description: partial 16S ribosomal RNA
Rfam family: Bacterial small subunit ribosomal RNA
Source: RNAcentral